GUCGAGAAUCUUUCACAAUGGGGGCAACCCUGAUGGAGCGACGCCGCGUGGAGGAUAAGGUCUUCGGAUUGUAAACUCCUGUCAUGCGUGAACAAGGUUGCUUGGUUAAUACCUGGGCAAAUUGAUGGUAACGCAAGAGGAAGAGACGGCUAACUCUGUGCCAGCAGCCGCGGUAAUACAGAGGUCUCAAGCGUUGUUCGGAAUCACUGGGCGUAAAGGGUGCGUAGGUGGCGUGGUAAGUCAGAUGUGAAAGCCCGGGGCUCAACCUCGGAACUGCAUCCGAUACUGCCAUGCUAGAGUACUGGAGAGGUGACUAGAAUUCUCGGUGUAGCAGUGAAAUGCGUAGAUAUCGAGAGGUAUACCAAAGGCGUAGGCAGGUCACUGGACAGUUACUGACACUGAGGCACGAAGGCCAGGGGAGCGAACGGGAUUAGAAACCCCAGUAGUCC
RNAcentral lists this ribosomal RNA (449 nucleotides) under uncultured bacterium. RNAcentral's name for it is "partial 16S ribosomal RNA". It matches the Rfam family "Bacterial small subunit ribosomal RNA", at positions 354 to 796 of the family's 1533-position model. The record is from RNAcentral.